GCGCGGGCGUUGCGGGGAUGAACGGCGCUGCGAGCUCUCGCCCCGCGGUCUCCCGCGAUCCCAGGUUCGGCUCGUAGGCCCGCACG
This 86-nucleotide transfer RNA is filed under the name Agromyces bauzanensis. RNAcentral describes it as "tRNA-Glu". Lineage: Bacteria; Bacillati; Actinomycetota; Actinomycetes; Micrococcales; Microbacteriaceae. The record is from RNAcentral.